RNAcentral lists this ribosomal RNA (235 nucleotides) under uncultured bacterium. RNAcentral's name for it is "partial 16S ribosomal RNA". It matches the Rfam family "Bacterial small subunit ribosomal RNA", at positions 96 to 334 of the family's 1533-position model. The record is from RNAcentral.
CGGCGGACGGGUGAGUAAUGCCUAGGAAUCUGCCUGGUAGUGGGGGAUAACGUCCGGAAAACGGGCGCUAAUACCGCAUACGUCCUGAGGGAGAAAUGGGGGAUCUUCGGACCUCACGCUAUCAGAUGAGCCUAGGUCGGAUUAGCUAGUUGGUGGGGUAAAGGCCUACCAAGGCGACGAUCCGUAACUGGUCUGAGAGGAUGAUCAGUCACACUGGAACUGAGACACGGUCCAG